RNAcentral lists this ribosomal RNA (497 nucleotides) under uncultured bacterium. RNAcentral describes it as "partial 16S ribosomal RNA". It matches the Rfam family "Bacterial small subunit ribosomal RNA", at positions 28 to 507 of the family's 1533-position model. The record is from RNAcentral.
GAUGAACGCUGGCGGCGUGCCUAAUACAUGCAAGUCGAGCGAACAGACGAGGAGCUUGCUCCUCUGACGUUAGCGGCGGACGGGUGAGUAACACGUGGAUAACCUACCUAUAAGACUGGGAUAACUUCGGGAAACCGGAGCUAAUACCGGAUAAUAUAUUGAACCGCAUGGUUCAAUAGUGAAAGACGGUUUUGCUGUCACUUAUAGAUGGAUCCGCGCCGCAUUAGCUAGUUGGUAAGGUAACGGCUUACCAAGGCAACGAUGCGUAGCCGACCUGAGAGGGUGAUCGGCCACACUGGAAGUGAGACACGGUCCAGACUCCUAAGGGAGGCAGCAGUAGGGAAUCUUCCGCAACGGGCGAAAGCCUGACGGAGCAACGCCACGUGAGUGAUGAAGGUCUUCGGAUCGUAAAACUCUGUUAUUAGGGAAGAACAAAUGUGUAAGUAACUAUGCACGUCUUGACGGUACCUAAUCAGAAAGCCACGGCUAACUACGUG